Long non-coding RNA from Astatotilapia calliptera (eastern happy), 549 nucleotides. The record is from Ensembl. NCBI's taxonomy places the organism in Eukaryota, Metazoa, Chordata, Actinopteri, Cichliformes, Cichlidae.
CACAAGUUCCCGGCUCUCUCGACUCGGUUGAAGACGGCUUUCUAGAAGAAGGCGAGGGCAGUGAGGCACAGUCCCCCGUCCCUCGACGCCCCUCGCGAUGCCCCUCCUUCUUGGACUAACCCUCUUCAGAGGAGCCGUGAGAGCCAGGAACUUGUGAGUUUUGUAUGUCCAGUCAGGCAUCAUUCAUACCUGGUCUGUAGGAAGUUCCUGUCAGAAGGAGGUGGCACCGCGAGGGCGUCGAGGGGCGGAAGGCGGUGCCUUAGUGCCUCCCUCCUUCUGACAUUGUAAAGGGACCCUAACUUUAUUACUUUUUUAAUAGUAAGAUAGAUAUAUAUAUAUAUGUAUGUAUAUGUUUUUUGUCCUCAGAUGAGGUUUGAAGUGUCUGUGUGGUGCAGCUGGUCUGGUCUGUCUCUGUACAGUCGAGGCUGCACCCACCUAUAAAAGGUGGAGGCUCACCAGGACAUGCACACCUCACAAGUUCCCGGCUCUCUCGACUCGGUUGAAGACGGGUUUCUAGAAGAAGGCGAGGGCAGUGAGGCACAGUCCCCC